GAUGAAGAACGUAGCGAAAUGCGAUAAGUAGUGUGAAUUGCAGAAUUCAGUGAAGCAUCGAAUCUUUGAACGCACAUUGCGCCCGCCAGCACUCUGGCGGGCAUGCCUGUUCGAGCGUCAUUUCAACCAUCAAGCCCCAGGCUUGCGUUGGAGCCCUGCGGCUGCCGCAGCCUCCUAAAAGCAGUGGCGGGCUCGCUAUCACACCGAGUGCAGUAGAUUACUCUUCGCUCAGGGCGUGCAGCGGGUUCCGGCCGUGAAACCCCCUACUUUUAAAGGUUGACCUCGGAUCAGGUAGGAAUACCCGCUGAACUUAAGCAUAUCAAUAAGCGGAGGA
Molecule: unclassified non-coding RNA, 334 nt
Filed under: soil metagenome
Description: partial contains 5.8S ribosomal RNA, internal transcribed spacer 2, and large subunit ribosomal RNA
Rfam family: 5.8S ribosomal RNA (bases 1-120)
Source: RNAcentral